UUUCAUGGACACGCCUACUACGGUACGGGGUUUCCUAUCCCUUUCUGCAAGAGCGCAGCCUUUUUCCCACGCCUUUGUGAAGAUUGGAGGACUUGAGAUUUUCAGGAAGGGACUUCAUGCAGUGCAAGUCGUGCAAGUUUUCAAGCUCCUCCCAGGAAAUUCUUCUUAAGCAUUGUAGGCUUCACCACGGUCACGGUACACAUUGGCCUUGCAUUUACACAGAUUGUGUAUGUGUAUUUAAAACAUCUGGUGCAUUACGGUCACACCUCUCAAGAUCACACACAUCCACUGUAAAUUCACCCAAUUCAACAUUUCAAUGUGAAUUGUGCGACUUUAAAGAGAUUUGCAGCGAAAAGACUUUUUGGAACCAUCUAGCAAACCAUUUAAGGAAUCGAGAGACUGUGCAAUGCCCCAUUCUAAGAUGCAAUUUCAAAACCAACAUUCGCCCAACCUUUACUUCUCAUAGAAGCCGUAAUCACAGACAUUGUACUCUUAAAGAUUUUCGAACUGUAUGUAGAGGCAACACUGACAUUGAAGCAAGUGAUGGGGAACUGGAUGAUUGUGAAGCAGGGGUGUCAUUGGAGAGUGGUGUAGAUUACGUUGAUGAGAUUGUGGAUGGUGAAACACUUGAGCACAAAUUAGCUAGUCUCUUUUUGUGUAUGAUAACAGAGCUGCAUAUUAGUAGGCACGCUACACAAAAAGUUGUAGAGGAAUUGCAUAACAUUCUGUCUUUUGCUAGCAAUCAGACUUUGAGAAGUGUGAAAGAGAUACUUUUGAGGCAUACAAUUGAAGUAGAUGAUUCAGUUCUGCAUGAAAUAUCUGAUGCCAUUGUCAAGACUAAUCCACUCUUGGUAACAACAGCUGCAAAAGGCUGCCUCUCUACAGAUUAUCGCAGGACUUUAUAUUUUCAGGAGAAGUUUUCUGUAAUAGAACCAACAGAGUAUCUUUUUAACCCAGUUCUCAAGAAUUCAUUUGUGUAUAUAUCAGUCCCAAAGGUGCUUAGAAGUCUACUUAAUAGAGAAGAUUUUUCAGAACAGGUUGUAUUUGGUCAAGAUUCUUUCCCUGGAUCCUACAAGUCUUUCCAAGACGGAACGCACUUUAAAGACAAUAAGCUUUUGGGACAGCAGAACAAAUGCAUCAGUCUGGCAUUAUACACGGAUGAUUUUGAAAUCUGUAAUCCUUUGGGCACCUCUAAAAAGAUUUAUAAGAUAACUGCAGUCUAUUGGGUUCUUCUAAAUUUACCUGCCAAGUUCCGAUCUAGCCUUACAUCAAUUCAGCUUGCUCUUCUUGGUAGAAGUGAUGAUGUUAAGGCGUAUGGUUAUGAAAAGUUUCUUGAACCCUUGAUUAAAGAUAUACGGUGUAUAGAGGAAGAGGGACUAUUUGUUGAAGUGCUUGAUCAGUUUGUCAAAGGUACUGUGUUUUGUGUGUGCGCAGAUAACCUUGCAGCACAUAGUCUUGCGGGCUUUUCUGAAAGUUUUAAUGUUGAGAAGUUCUGUCGGUUUUGUUUGAUAAGCAAGCACCAAAUUGCUACGACUCAUGUUGAGGAUUUCGAGUUAAGGGCUGUUGAUGGACACAGUGCAGUUUUGGAAGAGCUCGGGCAGAACGAAGCACUCAAAAGCAUUGAUGGUGUCAAAAAUGAGUGUGUUCUUGAGAAGCACUUACAAUUCUUUCAUACAGUGAAUGGCUUUCCUCCAGAUAUACUGCAUGAUUUUUUCGAAGGGGUCAUCCCUUAUGAAUUGUGUUUGUGUUUGAAAAAUUUGAUUGCUAAAGGUUUUUUAACGUUGGAUGUGCUUAAUAACAGCAUAAAGUCAUUUCCAUACAAAAACACAGACAAAGUAAACAAACCAAAACACAUUUCGAAGGGAAGCUUCAAGAAGGGUACGGUUGCAGGCAAUGGACAUGAGAAUUGGGCUUUGUUGCGCUUACUUCCUUUUUUAAUUGGAUGCAAGAUACCCCAAAAUGAACCUGCUUGGAUGAUUUUAAUGGACCUCAAGGACAUUGUUGAAAUAGUUGUUUCACACAAGCUCUCAGAGGCAGCUCUGUGCCGUCUGUCUUCCAAACUGCAGGACCACCGUCAAUUGCUUACUGAUACAUUUCCAGAGUACAAACUUAAACCAAAGAACCAUUUCAUUGAGCAUUACCCACAUCUAAUGCGUUGUUAUGGCCCUCUGGUGGAAUUAUGGACGAUGCGAUAUGAGGCGAAGCACAGCUUUUUUUAAAAAGUGGUUCACGACACAAACAACUGGAAAAAUGUGCUGCUUACUCUCUCCAUGAAACACCAGCAAUUGUUGGCCUACCACCUGGAUAGCCCUAACCUUUUCAAGGAAAAGCUCAUUGUUGAAAGAGUGAAAGUGGUCACGGUCUCAGAAUUGGAUACCACACUGAGGUGUGUAAUUGAGAGGAAGUAUCCACAUCUUGAUAGUGUGAGUCUUUCUAAAUCCGUUCAGCUACAUGGCACACAGUAUGCAGAGGGCAUGGUUUUAUCUUCCGGCCAGUGCAAUGACCUUCCAAAAUUUCACAAGAUUUCAAUCAUUCUGAUAAAUGCACAGGAAGUGACGUUUAUUUGCCGAACACUUGUUUCAAGGUACAUUGAACAUUUACGAUCUUAUGAACUUGUUGAAAGCCAACUCUCUGAAACUGUUGCCUUGGAUCCAGAUCUGUUGAUAGACUAUCACCCUCUAGAACAAUACAAAGUUGGUGGGAAACUGAUGGUGACCACAAGGACAUUCAUCCUCAACUAAGCCAUUAAAAAUGACUUUGUUACUUCGAGUAGUUAUCUCUCCAAAAGAAGCCCGUCGAAUCCUGCUCACAGAGAUACCAGCAUCUGUUGACCAGCUCAUCGAUGUACUUAAAGACAAAAUCCAGUUGGAAGGUGAUUUCUCACUCCAGUUCGAGGACCCCGAUUUUUCAAAUGCAUUAUGUCAGUUGACUCAAAUGUCAGAGUUGCCAGAUGGGCGUGCUGUCUUGCACAUUGUGUGGAACACUGGGGAAUCUCCCCUCAGCCGAUCUGAUAGCCAUUCCAUUGGCUCAGUGUCCUCCCUUGACACAGCCAGCUUACACUCUGAGGACUGCAAUGAGGCGCAGAGGAGCCCUACUCGUUCCUUCCAGGGGAGCUUGUUCGAGUCCCUCCCUUCUACCUCCUCAAGUUCUGUCCAGGGGAGCUUGUUCGAGUCCCUCCCUUCUCCCUCCUCAAGUUCUGUCCAGAGCAAUACAGAUUCUCCCCAGACCCCUUUAAGGCGUACAACUCAGUGGCCAAAUCCAUUCACAAUCCCUAAAUUUGCGUAUGAUGUUGAGCUGCGAUUGCGUAAGGGAAAUUACAUAUAUGAAAGAACACAGAAGCGCCUCAUUCUUACAGGAGAUAUGAGAUCUGACAUUGUGAAUAAACUUUGGCAGAGUAUUUUUGAUAUCAGAGGCGCCUAUCCCAGUAAGGAUGAAUUAGUGUCUGUUGCGUCUGGUCUUCUGGUCAAGUAUCCUUGUCUAAAGGAGACAGAUAGUGUAACUGGCUAUGAUGGAUGGCUGAAGAGCCUUCAUUAUAAGAUGGGCAACUUCAGGGCAAAGUUGCGUCGUGCAGGCUGCAAUGAGGUGAUGGUGAAUACAAAAAGAAAGGGAGAGGAUGGAGUGGCUGCUCCGUUCAUCCUGAAAAGGGCCAAACGUGGAGAGGUCAACCAUGUUCCAGAAUAUCCAGACAAUCAUGAUGGUACCACUCUUGAGGAGGAAAGGCUUGCACUGAUUGAAGAAAUGAAGAAAAGGAAAAGGAACAUGGGUCUGAUUAGGCAGAAGAUGGAACUGACUUUCUCCCAUCGUCGGAGAGAAAUCGUAGAAGUGCAGCCUAUGGUGUCAGAAGUCCAAGAACGAUGGCCUGCACUGUUUUCUCAUGAGGAGAUAUCUGAAGAAUUUUAUCGAAUCACCAGCAGAGACCUCUGGGCAACCUGGAAUGCAUCCCUCGACAACUACGUACCUCGCCUGAUAAAACUGUACCGAGCCAGAAAAGCAGCUUCUGGUCCAGAUAUGGAGAUGUUGCUGAAUAAACUUGAUGAAGAGACAACAGACAUUGUGCGUCAUCGAAGGACAGCAGCACUGAAAGGCCUUCCCAUUUUUGUUCGUGACGAUGCAUCACAGUUCUAUUUGAAGUGUGUGGACACAGACCCUGAAGAAUCGGUAGUUGCAGGAGUGCCCGUUGCAAUACUGACUGUCUAUGUUGAUGAUGAUGCUGCCGCAUGGACAACAGUGACUGACAUCGCCAUCAUCUUGGAAGGGGCAGUAAUACUACACAACUUACCUGACCUCGCAGCUGCCUUCGCCUGCCUGUUUGGCCUUUUGUACGCAAUGGACAUAAACUAUCCAGAGCAGAUGAGGUACACCUUCGAGGCUAUCCAGAACAUCUUUUUCGAACUUGGAUCAAGAUGCUCACAGCGCACGCGAUCCUUGAAAGAGAAGCUGUUGCUGUGAAGCCUGUGUAUGAUUGACACUCACCUGGACAUCAACACGCAUGCACUCACACACAGCUUUGUCAUAACUCCUGCAUGAACACACACACAAAGCUCUUCUUUGCCGACUACCACAUUAACAGGCCUGUACACACACAUUGUUCUCCAACAACUUCUCCAUGAACACACACACACAUAUAGCUCUUUGCUAACCACUACAUGAAUAGGUCUGUACACACACAUUGUUCUCCAGAAAACUUCUCCAAGAACAAGCAUGCUGCACAAGCACACAGAGAGGAAAGGAGCAGUUCUUAAGAAGCUCAGUUCACAGGGCACUAAGCUCCUCUGUGCUUUCUUCUAGAAGCUAAGAAAAUUCACUGAGUUCAUUGUGGGUAUAUUUUUCUAAUAUAUGUGGUUUAUCUUGUUGUUGUUGUUUUGUAUCUCUAUAUAAACAGCUUGUUAGGUUCCAUUACCAAUGUGAACACACACCUGCUACUCUGCUCGCCAGCAUAGCUCUCAUACACACUGUUCUCUCACUGUUCUCUCACCCCACACACAGAUAGACAGAAGAGCAGUUCUCAAGAAGCUCAGUUCUCAGGGCGCCAAGCUCUUCUGUGCUCUCCCCAUAGCAGUUCAACAUGUGGUUUGUUUGUAUCUGUUGAUAUAGUGCAAUAAAAAUUUUGUAUUAACAAAA
Molecule: RNA transcript, 5121 nt
Organism: Cyprinodon tularosa
Lineage: Eukaryota; Metazoa; Chordata; Actinopteri; Cyprinodontiformes; Cyprinodontidae
Exons: 6
Source: RefSeq, a predicted model, not a curated record